RNAcentral lists this ribosomal RNA (442 nucleotides) under uncultured Bacillota bacterium. RNAcentral's name for it is "bacterial SSU rRNA". It matches the Rfam family "Bacterial small subunit ribosomal RNA", at positions 917 to 1359 of the family's 1533-position model. The record is from RNAcentral. Lineage: Bacteria; Bacillati; Bacillota.
GGACCCGCACAAGCGGUGGAUUAUGUGGUUUAAUUCGAAGCAACACGAAGAACCUUACCAAGGCUUGACAUACCGAUGAAUUAUGCAGAAAUGUAUACGCCCUUCGGGGCAUUGGAUACAGGUGGUGCAUGGUUGUCGUCAGCUCGUGUCGUGAGAUGUUGGGUUAAGUCCCGCAACGAGCGCAACCCUUGUGAUUAGUAGCUACAUUUAGUUGAGCACUCUAAUCAGACAGCCGCAGUUAAUGCGGAGGAAGGUGGGGAUGACGUCAAAUCAUCAUGCCCCUUACGCCUUGGGCAACACACGUAAUACAAUGGCGAACACAGAGUGAAGCGAGGUCGUGAGGCGGAGCAAAUCACUUAAAAGUACGUCCCCAGUUCGGAUUAUAGUCUGCAACCCGACUAUAUGAAGUUGGAAUCGCUAGUAAUCGCAAAUCAGAAUGUUG